GAUAAACGCUAGCGGCAGGCUUAACACAUGCAAGUCGAGGGGCAGCAUAGAUUGUAGCAAUACAAUUGGUGGCGACCGGCGCACGGGUGCGUAACGCGUAUGCAACCUACCCGUCACAGGGGGAUAAUCCGGAGAAAUCUGGUCUAAUACCCCAUAACAUAUGGAUCGGCAUCGGUUCAUGUUGAAAUUUUCGGAGGUGACGGAUGGGCAUGCGUAGCAUUAGCUUGUUGGUGAGGUAACGGCUCACCAAGGCGACGAUGCUUAGGGGGACUGAGAGGUUUUCCCCCCACACUGGUACUGAGACACGGACCGGACUCCUACGGGAGGCAGCAGUGAGGAAUAUUGGUCAAUGGGCGCAAGCCUGAACCAGCCAUGCCGCGUACAGGAUGACGGCUCUAUGAGUUGUAAACUGCUUUUGUACGAGGGUAAAGUGGGUUACGUGUAACCUUUUGAAAGUAUCGUACGAGUAAGGAUCGGCUAACUUCGUGCCAGCAGCCGCCGUAA
This 504-nucleotide ribosomal RNA is filed under the name uncultured bacterium. RNAcentral describes it as "partial 16S ribosomal RNA". It matches the Rfam family "Bacterial small subunit ribosomal RNA", at positions 28 to 523 of the family's 1533-position model. The record is from RNAcentral.